CCUACGUGAGGCAGCAGUAGGGAAUCUUCCACAAUGGGCGAAAGCCUGAUGGAGCAACGCCGCGUGGGUGAAGAAGGUCUUCGGAUCGUAAAACCCUGUUGUUAGAGAAGAAAGUGCGUGAGAGUAACUGUUCACGUUUCGACGGUAUCUAACCAGAAAGCCACGGCGAACUACGUGCCAGCAGCCGCGGGAAUACGUAGGUGGCAAGCGUUAUCCGGAUUUAUUGGGCGUAAAGGGAACGCAGGCGGUCUUUUAAGUCAGAUGUGAAAGCCAUCGGCUUAACCGGAGUAGUGCAUUGGAAACUGGGAGACUUGAGUGCAGAAGAGGCGAGUGGAACUCCAUGUGUAGCGGUGAAAUGCGUAGAUAUAGGGAAGAACACCAGUGGCGAAAGCGGCUCUCUGGUCUGUAACUGACGCUGAGGUUCGAAAGCGUGGGUAGCAAACAGGAUUAGAUACCCCAGUAGUC
RNAcentral lists this ribosomal RNA (465 nucleotides) under uncultured bacterium. RNAcentral describes it as "partial 16S ribosomal RNA". It matches the Rfam family "Bacterial small subunit ribosomal RNA", at positions 338 to 795 of the family's 1533-position model. The record is from RNAcentral.